Molecule: ribosomal RNA, 244 nt
Filed under: uncultured bacterium
Lineage: Bacteria
Description: partial 16S ribosomal RNA
Rfam family: Bacterial small subunit ribosomal RNA
Source: RNAcentral
UACGUAGGGGGCAAGCGUUGUCCGGAUUUAUUGGGCGUAAAGAGCGUGUAGGCGGCCAGACAGGUCCGUUGUGAAAACUCGAGGCUCAACCUCGAGACGCCGAUGGAAACCGUCUGGCUAGAGUCCGGAAGAGGAGAGUGGAAUUCCUGGUGUAGCGGUGAAAUGCGCAGAUAUCAGGAAGAACACCCGUGGCUAAGGCGGCUCUCUAGUACGGUACUGACGCUGAGACGCGAAGCGUGGGAGC